AUUGAACGCUGGCGGCAGGCCUAACACAUGCAAGUCGAACGGUAACAGGAAGAAGCUUGCUUCUUUGCUGACGAGUGGCGGACGGGUGAGUAAUGUCUGGGAAACUGCCUGAUGGAGGGGAUAACUACUGGGAACGGUAGCUAAUACCGCAUAACGUCGCAAGACCAAAAAGGGGGGCCUUCGGGCCUCUUGCCAUCGGAUGUGCCCAGAUGGGAUUAGCUAGUAGGUGGAGUAACGGCUCACCUAGGCGACGAUCCCUAGCUGGUCUGAGAGGAUGACCAGCCACACUGGAACUGAGACACGGUCCAGACUCCUACGGGAGGCAGCAGUGGGGAAUAUUGCACAAUGGGCGCAAGCCUGAUGCGGCCAUACCGCGUGUAUGAAGAAGGCCUUCGGGUUGUAAAGUACUUUCAGCGGGGAGGAAGGGAGUAAAGUUAAUACCUUUGCUCAUUGACGUUACCCGCAGAAGAAGCACCGGCUAACUCCGUG
This 489-nucleotide ribosomal RNA is filed under the name uncultured bacterium. RNAcentral's name for it is "partial 16S ribosomal RNA". It matches the Rfam family "Bacterial small subunit ribosomal RNA", at positions 30 to 507 of the family's 1533-position model. The record is from RNAcentral.